AGUAAAUAAACUUUAUUUAUCUGUUUCUCAGAGAUGACACUGCCAACAAUCACAGAUUUGCAUACAAUACAGUUAUGUAUUGGCUAUUCACAAUUUACAGUAGUGUUUUUUCCUCUGAAAAAUAUAAGUACAAAAGCUAAGUAAACAAUGAGGUACUGCCAUUUGGGAUUUUUUACAUGUCUUAGCUUAAAGAACUGGUCUUUAGCAAAUAUUCAACAGAUCAACCUGAAUAAAAUAGUCAAUUAAAUGCUCUAAUUUAUCAGAAAAAAUCCACUAAGUUUCACCUCAAAAUGUAUUGCACAAGUCUUUUUAAAAAAUCACCCUAAAAAUAAAUAGGAAAGGUAAGCCGUUCUUUAAAAAGAAUGGAUGAAAGGAAUAUUAUGUAAGCCCAUAAAGCAGGUUAAGUUAUCAAAAUAUCUUUUAAACAACAUAAAACUCUUCCCAAGAGAAAACUGAAGAAAAAACUAUCACCAUUUCUCCACUGAUAAAAUCUAUUUUAAAGGCAGUCUGCAACUUAUCUGUGGGCCAGAUUUUUCUUGGUCUUUUGGCUACAUGAGGGGCCCUGAAUGACAACUUCAUUCUCAAAGAGUAGCAAGUGUGGACAGUUUUCCAAGCAGCAGUCACCCAAUGUCACUCUUCUUCAAGAUGAAGAUCGGAGCCAUGACUGGAAAAGAAAAAGGAAAAGAGAAUAAAGAAAGGGGGCAAAAAAAUCCAAAACAUUUAGGUUGACUUUUUGGGAUAUUUGUUUUUUCAAGUUUGAAAUAAAAUUCUAUUCCAUGGUCUAGAGACUGCAGUAAAGAGGCAGAAAUAAGGCUGGGUGUGGUAGCUCAUGACUGUAAUCCCAGCACUUUGAGAGGCCAAGAUGGGAGAAUCACUUGAGGCCAGGAGUUCGAGACCAGCCUGGUCAACACAGCAAGACCCCAUUCUGAAAAAAAAAAAAAAAAGUAGAAAUUGUCUAAACACUAAAUCUUAAAGGUAUCUUCUAAAAAUUAACAUUCUUGCAAUGAUGCAAACCAACCUAUAGUCAGCAAUCCUGGAAAAUGGCAUUUCUAAGUGAAAUUUGGAACUGCAACCAUUUACCAUAUAUCGAAUGCUACCAGUUUAUACAGUAACCCAGGAGUAAACACGCUGACUUGGCUGAAUCUCACAAAUAUUGGACUGGAAUUAAAGAUGACAGGCUGGACCCAGUGGCUCAUGCCUAUAAUCCUAGCACUUUGGAAGGCCAAGGUGGAAAGAUCACUUGAGGCCAGGAGUUUGAGACCAGCCUGGCCAACAUGGCAAAACCCUGUCUCUACUAAAAAUACAAAAAAAUUAGCCGGCCGUGGUGGUGCUUGUAACCCCAGCUACUCGGGAGGCUGAGGCAGGAGAAAUCACUUGAACUCAGGAGGCGGAGGUUGCAGUAAGCCGAGAUCAUGCCAUCGCUCUCCAGCCUGGGCAACAGAGUGAGAGACUGCCUCAAAAAAACAAUAAAAAAUAAAGAUGAGAAAGAGCUCUUUCCUCUUAUCCAGUGUGCUGAUUAUUCUACAAAUUGCAAUUCUCCCAGCAUGACAUAAUAGCAAAAGACAAACAGCAUUUUGGUGUGGAAAUUUAUGUCUCAUCUGGAAUUAAGAAAUUUAAUUUAAAAAUUAAAAACAGCCUGGGCAACAUAGUGAGAUCCCAUUGCUACAAAAAAUAGAAAAAAUUAGACAGGCAUGAUGGUGUGUGUCUGUAGUCCCAGCUACUCAGGAGGUUGAGGCAGGAGGAUCGCUUGAGCCUGGGAAGUCAAGGCUGCAGUGAGCUGACUGUACCACUGCACUCCAGGCUUGGCGACAGUGACACCUUGUCUCAAAAAAUAAAUUAAUUAGAAAUGCUGGCUGGGCAUGGUGGCUUAUGCCUAUAAUCCCAGCACUUUUGGGAGACCAGGGUCAGAGGACUGCUUGAGCCCAGGAGUUCAAGACCAGCCUGGGCAACAUGGCAAGACCCUGUAUCUACAAACUUUUUUUUAAAAAAAAUAGCUAGGUGUGGUGGCAUGUGUCUGUGGUCCCAGCUACUCAGAAGGCUGAGGCGGGAGGAUUCCUUGAGCCCAGGAGGUCAAGGCUGCAGUGAACUGUGUUCACGCCACUGCACUCUAGGCUGGUGUGACCAUGCUGGGGGGCAAAAAAAAAAAAAAAAGCUAUGACAUAGCCAAAGUCUUCCUCAUAAUGUUUCUCAAAUGAAAAUGCUGGCCAGGAGCAGUGGCUCACGCCUGUAAUCCCAGCACUAUGGGAGGCCAAGGCAGGUGGAUCACCUGAGGUCAGGAGUUCGAGACCAGCCUGGCCAACAUGGUGAAACCCGGUCUCUACUAAAAAUACAAAAAAUAAGCUGGGUGUGGUGGCGGGCACCUGUAACCCCAGCUACUCAGGAGGCUGAGGCAGGAGAAUCACUUGAGCCUGGGAGGUGGAGGUUGCAGUGAGCCGAGAUUGCGCCACUGCACUCUAGCCUGGGCAACAAGAGUGAAAAAAAAAAAAAUAAUAAAUAAAUAAAUAAAUAAAUAAAUAAAUAAAUAAAUAAAAGCUUAAAAGAACGGAGAAAUGUUGUAUCUUGCCAUUUUAAACCUUGAUACUAUUAUUAGCUGGAUAUUAACAAUCACUGAGAGUAUUUAUUUUAAUUAUAGUGAAGCCCUACUAAUUGUGAUCUGUUUUUGAUUUUGUGAAAAUUCUAGCAAAGGCUGAGGUAAAGAUGUAUGGUACAUUUUCAGAGGGUGCUAAAUCAACCUAAUAGCAUGAAAAAUACAUAGAGAUGAGGGGAGAGGGUUUAAAUGAUGAAGACAGUCAACUGCGUUGAAACAUUUCAUAUGCCUGCAUUUCACUGUAAUAUGUUAAUCAGGAAGAAUCACAUUCAAUUAAAGUAGGCUGCCUAACGGUCUCCUCAGGACAAAUGUGUUGUCUUGUGUUAAACUGUCUGAUUUCAGGAAGUAAUGAAGCUAUAUUUUAAAAUUGAUCUUACUAGUUUUCAUUAUUUCUGACUGGCCUUGACUCAGGCUUUACAGGAUUUUGAAUUCUCACGGAAUAUACCACUUCAUUUUUAUCUAGAAAAUGAUUUUUCAUUUCUCUCUCACAAUCAUAAUUUCAAAGAUCAUUCUUGGAAAAUUAAAAACAAAAGGGAAAAUAAGUUACAUAAAUACUUUUUUGGAUUCUUUAACAAAAUUUCAAAGAGCAAUUUUCAAACUUUCAAUUACUCUUUAAAGAAAUGAAAUUUCCUAAAAUUAUAUAACUCUUACUGGUGGUAGUAAUUUUUAACUAUUAUCGAUCCAUAUAACAGAAUGAACAGAAAAUACUUAUAUUAACCCAUAGCAUAAUCAUAUAUUUAUUAAACAAGAGCAAAAGAAUUCCAGCAAAAUGGUUAGUAUCAGGCAACACAUUUGAUUUUUGCACAAAAGACACAAGACAUUGUUCUUCACUCACCACAUGUUAACUAAGCACAGACUGAUGGUUUACUCAGAAGAUACCACUGCGAGGUGAAGUAAACUACAAAGCCAGGAAGAAAAAAAGCUUAUUGGGUUAGUUUUAAGACUUAAUAUAACACAUAGAUUGUAUGUGUAUAUGAAGUUCAUAGGAUUACAGACUGUACUUAAAUUUUUCUCAAAUCUCCCCAAAUCAAGGGUGUACAGGCAAGGAAUAAGGAAUCUGUAAUACCUCCCCCCAUAUCCUAGGUAAAUAUAAUAUUAUGUAGCUGAGAUUUUACUUGCAACUUUCAUUUGAAGACUUAAACAACGUAAUGAAAGGUGUACUGCAUAUUUUAAGUACAUAUUUACCAGCUGAAUUACGGGGCAAUUAUUUGCUUUACAAAAGGAUCUCUUUCAUAAUUCCAUGAAAGUACACAUUAAAAUUUGAUUUACAUAAUCUCAAUUUACCCUAAAAAGUUUUCGGGAAAAUGAUGAUGAAUUUGAAGAGCCAUGUGUCUAUAUGUUGAAUUCUCAUUCCUAAUGUGUCAAUUUGAUCACUGAAUAACUCUCUUGUAAUUCAACAAUGUAUCAGAAAUGGUUUCAGGAAUGGUGACCCAAACUGAAAUUUCAAUUUAAGGAAACUCAAUCUCAAAUAUAGUUUUUACUGUGACAAACCUUAAAUAAAUUCUAUGCCCCAUUUUAAGAUGGUCAUUGUCCAAAAUCAUUAAUUACCUUCACGGUGAUUUAAAAUGGCAGCAUUAAAAACAAAGAUUGCUUAUAAAAUCUGAGUCUAUUCUUGGAUAGUGUGGCCAACCUCAGAAACAUCAUUUUAUUUAUCUUUCAUAUUUAAAGUUAGUAAAAAGCAGCAAAACCAAAAGACAAGCUAGAAAAUAAUAUGUGCAACACACACAACACAAUGAGGUUAAUAUCCUCUCUGGCAGAAGUAUACAAAAUCCAUGUAUAUGGAUGUUCCCUAUGUCUAUGCUUGUAAAGUACUGAAAAUCUUGAAAACAUAAGUAAAUGGAAUGAGGAGGAAACUGGUGAACUAAACUGUAGGACAUCCAUAUAAUCAUACAAUCAGCCAUUGAAAAGAAUGAGACCAAUUUGUAAUAAGGUGGAAUAAUAUAAAAAUAUAUUAAGUGAAAAAAGCAAGCCAUUGCAUACUCUCAUUUUUAUAAAAUAAAAUGAAUGAUAAAGGAGUAACUAUAAAUAUGUAAUUACAUGGCUUAGAAAACAUGGAGAUAUUCCCCAAACUGUUCACAGAGAUGAUACUGGCAUAGCAGAAGUAGUCUGGAGGCUGAAGAUCAUGAGGGACUCCCUUUCUAUGUUUCUGGCUUAUAAUAUUUUUUCCAGUGAUCACGUAUUACCUUAUUCUACCAACACCAGAAUCAAAACCAAUCUCAAGAAAACAAAUAUGUAUUUGACAUGUGCAAUAUUUUCUAUAAUGUGUCAGUUUUAUUUGUAUGUGUUUCCUGAACCCACCUUGCAUGCAUCUUCUGAGCCCAUGCAGAGGGAAAGGGUAAACCUCGUGUGGGAAUGGAAAACUUUUGUACCUAGCAAUGCUGAAAAGUUCUGAUUUUAUUAAUUCGGAGGAAAUUUUGAAAAUUCCAACAGGGGAAGAAAAUGAGACGUUAAGAGAACACAAGACUGGUCCAGGGCAAGGACUGAUGAAGAACUAUAUACACCACCAAGAAUCAGUGUGAAAGCAAAGUUGAAGGAGAGUCAACAGAAGAGCAAUUGAAAAAGAUGACUAGAAUGGACAGAGAACACAAACAAGCCAACCUUCUCCAUCAAAGAGAAAUUUUCUUUAAUGGAGUCAUCAAGAAAACAGUGAUGUCCAUUUAUGUCAUUACAUUUUGCUAGCACUCUAAAGAGAAAAAUGUCUAAGAAAACUUUUAAAGAGGGGUUUCCAUAUAACAAAGGAAUCUCAAUUCUGAGAUGCUUGUUA
RNAcentral lists this long non-coding RNA (5351 nucleotides) under Homo sapiens (human). Its description in RNAcentral is "non-protein coding lnc-LRRFIP2-1:1". Lineage: Eukaryota; Metazoa; Chordata; Mammalia; Primates; Hominidae. The record is from RNAcentral.